This 235-nucleotide unclassified non-coding RNA is filed under the name plant metagenome. RNAcentral describes it as "partial contains small subunit ribosomal RNA, internal transcribed spacer 1, and 5.8S ribosomal RNA". The stretch from base 1 to 54 matches the Rfam family "Eukaryotic small subunit ribosomal RNA", at positions 1778 to 1831 of the family's 1831-position model. The record is from RNAcentral.
GGAAGUAAAAGUCUUAACAAGGUUUCCGUAGGUGAACCUGCGGAAGGAUCAUUCAUAAUAAGUGUUUUAUGGCACUUUUUUAAAUCCAUAUCCACCUUGUGUGCAAUGUCAGGGUUGAUUUUUCUCUCGAGAGGAUCAACCCCAAACAUCAACUAUAUCUCAACUCUUUGUCUGAAAAAUAUUAUGAAUAAAACAAUUCAAAAUACAACUUUCAACAACGGAUCUCUUGGCUCUC